CCUACGGGAGGCAGCAGUGGGGAAUAUUGGACAAUGGGGGCAACCCUGAUCCAGCCAUGCCGCGUGUGUGAAGAAGGCCCUCGGGUUGUAAAGCACUUUCAGCGAGGAAGAACGCCUAGCGGUUAAUACCCGCUAGGAAAGACAUCACUCGCAGAAGAAGCACCGGCUAACUCCGUGCCAGCAGCCGCGGUAAUACGGAGGGUGCAAGCGUUAAUCGGAAUUACUGGGCGUAAAGCGCGCGUAGGUGGCUUGAUAAGCCGGUUGUGAAAGCCCCGGGCUCAACCUGGGAACGGCAUCCGGAACUGUCAAGCUAGAGUGCAGGAGAGGAAGGUAGAAUUCCCGGUGUAGCGGUGAAAUGCGUAGAGAUCGGGAGGAAUACCAGUGGCGAAGGCGGCCUUCUGGACUGACACUGACACUGAGGUGCGAAAGCGUGGGUAGCAAACAGGAUUAGAUACCCUGGUAGUCCACGCCGUAAACGAUGUCGACCAGCCGUUGGGUGCCUAGCGCACUUUGUGGCGAAGUUAACGCGAUAAGUCGACCGCCUGGGGAGUACGGCCGCAAGGUUAAAACUCAAAUGAAUUGACGA
Molecule: ribosomal RNA, 586 nt
Filed under: uncultured bacterium
Lineage: Bacteria
Description: bacterial SSU rRNA
Rfam family: Bacterial small subunit ribosomal RNA
Source: RNAcentral